Molecule: non-coding RNA, 72 nt
Organism: Perkinsus marinus ATCC 50983
Lineage: Eukaryota; Perkinsozoa; Perkinsida; Perkinsidae
Source: Rfam
GGUUUUAUGGUGUAACGGUUAGCACUCCAGACUCUGAAUCUGGCGAUCUGGGUUCAAAUCCGGGUAAAACCU